AUACCUACUUGGCGUCGGGAUACCGUGAUCAUGCAAGCGGUUCCCUCGGGGUGCGGUUGCUCCAUUGUACUGCGGAGUGGUUGACCCUUGCGAUUAUUUUUAUAUUUAAUAAGUUUCACUUCUACCGUGUGUGACUUGCACACACACACACACACA
This is a small nuclear RNA of Bombyx mandarina (wild silkworm), 156 nucleotides long. The record is from RefSeq and is a predicted model, not a curated record. NCBI's taxonomy places the organism in Eukaryota, Metazoa, Arthropoda, Insecta, Lepidoptera, Bombycidae.